This 202-nucleotide ribosomal RNA is filed under the name Bacillus cereus. Its description in RNAcentral is "partial 16S ribosomal RNA". It matches the Rfam family "Bacterial small subunit ribosomal RNA", at positions 430 to 623 of the family's 1533-position model. The record is from RNAcentral. Lineage: Bacteria; Bacillati; Bacillota; Bacilli; Caryophanales; Bacillaceae.
ACUCUGUUGUUAGGGAAGAACAAGUGCUAGUUGAAUAAGCUGGCACCUUGACGGUACCUAACCAGAAAGCCACGGCUAACUACGUGCCAGCAGCCGCGGUAAUACGUAGGUGGCAAGCGUUAUCCGGAAUUAUUGGGCGUAAAGCGCGCGCAGGUGGUUUCUUAAGUCUGAUGUGAAAGCCCACGGCUCAACCGUGGAGGGU